CCUUGCAGCCGCAUCACUCUCUCUCCCCGAUCUCUCUCAUUCUCACCUUCUCCCUCUGCCAGCGCCGGAAACUCCAUCUCCGGCCACCAGUUCUUGUUACCGCCACCACCAAUCGACGCCGCACCCAAAUCCGACCCAAGCCCGAGUCUCACCGUCGACAUGCAUCGUCUCCAGCCUCCGCACGGGUUCCUCGAAGCAGCGACGCCACUGCUCGUUGGCCUUCUCUGAUUUCCGGUCAUCACCUCGCCACAACGACGCCGUCGCCUGACUCAGCAAGCAACGAGGAGCAAAACCCAGAAGUUCUGCCACCCACCGAAGCCAGGACACGCUGUGCUAGCUCGCCGGAAACCGUAGCUCUGCAUGUCGUCGUUUUUCAAUUCCUAGUCAUGUCUGAGUUACACGACCACCAUGGAUGAACCCAGCACCUCAAAGAGCAUAACCCUCUAACUUCGACCUCCCAUUCCGGCGAGAGCCGCCGUACGCGCCGCCGCUGUGCAUCGCCGCCGGACUCCCAGAUUUUCUUAAAUAGGUAAUUUCGUCGUCUCUCUCUUUGGUUAAAGCCUUUGGGUCUUUAAGAAUCAAAAACCCUGAUCUACUGCUCCUUGAUUUGGAAUUGAGGUUAACGGAUUUCUGCAUUUUGGAGUUUUGGAAAGGAAGGAGCUACUGCGUCAGUUUUUGUUGAGACUGAAAGAAAAGGUGUUGAAACUGUUGUCGAAGGUGGAUUGCAGCAGCGACGACUUGAUUCCCAAUCUGGAAAAGAAGAGCGGACUCGAGUGUGUGCACUUGGAUUUGGACACAUGAUCGAAAGUCGGGAACGAACCCGAAUGUGGACGAGCACUCCAAUUUCCAGGUAGGGUGAGCUGUCCCUUCCUUGUUAGAGGCUUUUCGUUAUAUGUGGAAUGCUCUAGUAUAAUAUUAUGUUGCCUGCAAGUACGUUUUUGGUUGUUCAUUAGUCGAUGCCUCGUGAUACAUGUGUUUUCAGAACUAAUAAUUGCAAAUUGUGAAAACCGAGGCUAGACUUGCAUGUUGAGAUACUGUACCCUUGUAUGUGUGUACUUGUGACCUGAAAGUGAAUGGGACCUAGACGCGUAGAUUCCUAGGGAUCCCACGGUGUCGAUAACCGUGAACCUCCGGAGGGGGCCGUGCUCCUAUGUUUGUCGAGAAAAAGUGAGUAUAGACAGUGAACCAGUCAUAGGAGACUCAGGGCCAGGAAAUGGACACUUUCGCUACUUGUAGUCGGAAGUACUACAGAGUAGUUGGCCGGUUCUCGUACUCAGGACGAACCAGGUCGGUCACUGAUUUAUUUUACUUUAGCCGGCAGUGUGCAGGUUUCGAGCAUGUGGUCGGGAAGCGUACAGGGGAGGCACAUGGCACGGCUUGGCGCAUUUCUCUUUAGUUUUAUCAAAAGAAGGUUUUGGUCCUUAAUCGGAUUUUGUAGUAGCUUAUUUAUUUACUUUUUAUUUAUUUCCUACUCGUUUACAAAAAUUCCGGGAGACCCGUAACCCUGGGGCGCGUCUCCCAUACUUGUCGUUACUUAGAGAUCAGUUUUAUUUUCCAAAUUGGGCUCCGAUCGCAAGCCCAAAACUCUUAGCCCAUUUCGAAUUCCGCUUUUGAAAAUGUGUUGUUAGGUUGCUAGAAUGAUUUGUCCAAGAAAGUGUUUUGUAAACCAACAACCUAAACUCAAAAGGCCUUGCGGUUUCGGGUUGAUGAGCUAUCGAGAUGCCAUUCGUGACAUGUCGAUUCCUCAUUGGCUCGGAGUCGCGGCGCUGUGGGACCCCCUCUCGGGUCACUA
Long non-coding RNA from Rosa rugosa (rugosa rose), 1792 nucleotides. RefSeq lists it as uncharacterized. NCBI's taxonomy places the organism in Eukaryota, Viridiplantae, Streptophyta, Magnoliopsida, Rosales, Rosaceae. The record is from RefSeq and is a predicted model, not a curated record. The transcript is spliced from 4 exons.